This 67-nucleotide transfer RNA is filed under the name Hemignathus wilsoni (Akiapolaau). Its description in RNAcentral is "tRNA-Cys". The record is from RNAcentral. Lineage: Eukaryota; Metazoa; Chordata; Aves; Passeriformes; Fringillidae.
GGCUCUGUGGUGAAGUUCAUAGUGAGUUGCAAGCUCAUUGAUGUACAUUGACCAUGUACCGGAGUCU